Molecule: transfer RNA, 73 nt
Filed under: Oryza punctata
Lineage: Eukaryota; Viridiplantae; Streptophyta; Magnoliopsida; Poales; Poaceae
Rfam family: tRNA
About the family: Transfer RNA (tRNA) molecules are approximately 80 nucleotides in length. Their secondary structure includes four short double-helical elements and three loops (D, anti-codon, and T loops). Further hydrogen bonds mediate the characteristic L-shaped molecular structure. tRNAs have two regions of fundamental functional importance: the anti-codon, which is responsible for specific mRNA codon recognition, and the 3' end, to which the tRNAs corresponding amino acid is attached (by aminoacyl-tRNA synthetases). tRNAs cope with the degeneracy of the genetic code in two manners: having more than one tRNA (with a specific anti-codon) for a particular amino acid; and 'wobble' base-pairing, i.e. permitting non-standard base-pairing at the 3rd anti-codon position.
Source: Rfam by way of RNAcentral
GUACGUCUAGCUCAGUCGGUAGAGCGCAAUGCUCUUAAUUUUGUGGUGCUAGGUUCGAGCCCCACGGUGGGCG